GCCAGGCUAGCUCAGUUGGAAGAGUGUCAGACUUUUAAUCUGAGGAUCCAGAGUUCAUGUCCCUGGUCAGGUG
Chelonia mydas (Green sea turtle) is the source of this 73-nucleotide non-coding RNA. Lineage: Eukaryota; Metazoa; Chordata; Testudines; Cheloniidae. The record is from Rfam.